UACGUAGGGUGCGAGCGUUGUCCGGAAUUAUUGGGCGUAAAGAGCUCGUAGGCGGUGUGUCACGUCGUUCGUGAAAACCUGCAGCUUAACUGUGGGCGUGCGGUCGAUACGGGCAUCACUGGAGUUCGGCAGGGGAGACUGGAAUUCCCGGUGUAGCGGUGAAAUGCGCAGAUAUCGGGAGGAACACCAAUGGCGAAGGCAGCUCGCUGGGACGAUACUGACGCUGAGACGCGAAAGCGUGGGGAGCAAACAGG
RNAcentral lists this ribosomal RNA (254 nucleotides) under uncultured bacterium. Its description in RNAcentral is "partial 16S ribosomal RNA". It matches the Rfam family "Bacterial small subunit ribosomal RNA", at positions 524 to 776 of the family's 1533-position model. The record is from RNAcentral.